UUCAAUGAUGAAGGAAAUUUUAUUCACACUGUACGAGACGCAAGUCUGUGAAUUUAAACAAAAUAUACUGAUUUAAUGAAUCUGAUG
RNAcentral lists this small nucleolar RNA (87 nucleotides) under Pichia kudriavzevii. The record is from RNAcentral. Lineage: Eukaryota; Fungi; Ascomycota; Pichiomycetes; Pichiales; Pichiaceae.